This 253-nucleotide ribosomal RNA is filed under the name uncultured bacterium. RNAcentral's name for it is "partial 16S ribosomal RNA". It matches the Rfam family "Bacterial small subunit ribosomal RNA", at positions 524 to 776 of the family's 1533-position model. The record is from RNAcentral.
UACGUAGGUGGCAAGCGUUGUCCGGAUUUACUGGGCGUAAAGAGCGCGCAGGCGGUCGGAUCAGUCGAAUGUGAAAGCCCCCGGCUCAACUGGGGAGGGUCAUUCGAUACUGUCCGACUCGAAGGCAGGAGAGGGAAGCGGAAUUCCCGGUGUAGUGGUGAAAUGCUUAGAUAUGACAUAGAACACCAAUUGCGAAGGCAGCUUACUUCACGAUCAUUGACACUGAGGCACGAAAGCGUGGGGAGCAAACAGG